RNAcentral lists this ribosomal RNA (510 nucleotides) under Corynebacterium aurimucosum. RNAcentral describes it as "bacterial SSU rRNA". It matches the Rfam family "Bacterial small subunit ribosomal RNA", at positions 915 to 1427 of the family's 1533-position model. The record is from RNAcentral. Lineage: Bacteria; Bacillati; Actinomycetota; Actinomycetes; Mycobacteriales; Corynebacteriaceae.
GGGGGCCCGCACAAGCGGCGGAGCAUGUGGAUUAAUUCGAUGCAACGCGAAGAACCUUACCUGGGCUUGACAUACACCAGAUUGCUGCAGAGAUGUAGUGUCCCUUGUGGUUGGUGUACAGGUGGUGCAUGGUUGUCGUCAGCUCGUGUCGUGAGAUGUUGGGUUAAGUCCCGCAACGAGCGCAACCCUUGUCUUAUGUUGCCAGCAUUUGGUUGGGGACUCAUGAGAGACUGCCGGGGUUAACUCGGAGGAAGGUGGGGAUGACGUCAAAUCAUCAUGCCCCUUAUGUCCAGGGCUUCACACAUGCUACAAUGGUCGGUACAACGCGCAGCGACACUGUGAGGUGGAGCGAAUCGCUGAAAGCCGGUCUUAGUUCGGAUUGGGGUCUGCAACUCGACCCCAUGAAGUCGGAGUCGCUAGUAAUCGCAGAUCAGCAACGCUGCGGUGAAUACGUUCCCGGGCCUUGUACACACCGCCCGUCACGUCAUGAAAGUUGGUAACACCCGAAGC